UUUUUAGCUUUUUUUUCGUUCCUUUUACAUANAGCAGAGUGAAGACGCGCUGAAACUCGGUGAAGUUACCCAUAGUAGCCAGUGUAUCCAGGGCAUCGAUUAGCGUAAGCGAAUAGCUGCCCCAGGUGUCGUGGCCGUCGCAGGUAAGUGGGCGUAGCUCGUCAUAGUUGGAGGCGUGCGUCAGAUAGCCGUCGUAAGCGUGCUGGAACAUCCGCCGAACAUCCUCUCUGGGGGAGUUGAGUGACAUGAGAUUUUAUAGUCUAGUGCUUAACGGUAUUUGCCCAUACUAAUUACUAUUACUCACCGCAGCUCCAACAUGCGCAUCCGGCUUUAACCAGGUUUCGGUAAACACAAUAACAUGGGAUGAAAAUGUGAAACUAUCCAUAAAAAGAGCCUUGGAAGAGCAUUUUGGAAGAGCCAAAAGUCUCGAAAUGAGUUCGUAAACAAUGAAGAAAAAGAAGACAAUCAAAAAAUCGUGCGCUACACAACCUCUUUCGUCGACGUUUGGCAAACUACUGACAAGCUGGUGUUCCUCAAUGGCCUGGCCCAUGGUAGAAUUACUAAUAGGUAACGUCGUCAACUGAGUGGAGGAGCACCAGCUUAUUCAUCACGCUUGCUCGGCUCUCAGAGACAUGAAGAAACUAUAAGGAGGCCUCGUCGGUGGCAGAGUUACUCGCUGCUUUUUCUUUUGGUCAGUGCUCUGGAAACGGAAAGUUUAUGCAGUUAAGUCUAAAUAUGCAGCUUUAUUUAUUUAUAUGCAGACCUUUUUAGCUUUUUUUUCGUUCCUUUUACAUAAAUACAUAUGUACAUGUAAAGUUUUAGUACGUACCAAUGAAAUCCGCUGUUCAAUGAAAUACUAGUGUAUUUGUAUACCUUUUAUUCGAAGAGUAAAUAGGGUAUAUUGUAUUUGUUAAAAAAUGAGCCACGCCCCCUUCCGCCCCCACAAAAGAGCGAAAACCUCCCAAAUUUACAAUUUUGAAGAUACAAGAAAAGAUAAAAACGCCAUUCCGUAGGGAAUGACCAUAUCUAUCAGAUCGCCAAAUUGGCCACAAUGAAUAAAUGAAUCGUGUACCCAUGUGUAAUAUAAAUAAUGCGUAAUCAGUCAUUUAUUAACUGUCAAAAACUUUUAGAGCGGUAUAAAAUUGUUUUCAUAACUUUUUGAUUAUAUUGAAGACCUUGGUCUUGCCUUCAACCAUCUUCGACCAUCUACUAAAAGACAAUUUUUUCGCAUAAAAAAUAAUUUUUAAGUUAAAGUUAAAGAAGCACCCUUUAACUUUAAACUAUUAAAUAUAACAGUAAAAGCACAUUCAAAUUAGUUUUCAAUUCCAUUAUACCUCCUGAUUUUAGUUUUUAGUCUAAUUCUAUAGUCUCCCAUAUUGGACCGUUCAAUAAAUACUUUUACGCUCCAAAAACAAAAGUACCGCAACAUUUCUUUCAGCAAUUCAGUAUAUAAAUUAAGCUUACUGAUGGUAACUUUUUUGAAUUGAUUUAAUUUGAUUUUUAAUUUGUUUGAAUACUUGCACCCAGCACUACUAUUUUAUUGAACAGCAGAUUUUAUGGGUAUUUUUCUGAAGUCAUGUAAAACAAGAAGACGGAAUGCAAAUGUUACAGGACUUUUUCUGGGUUCUAAUGUGUACAUUUCAGGCUUUUCAAAAAGGUAUCACUUGGUCAAUUGGAAAGACUGGAAGGGUCCGAAAAUAGUGGUGAAAAUUGUGUGGCUCGGCACUAUUAUUUUAUUGAACACAACUGUACAUAUGUACAUACAUACAUACAUAUUAACAUAACCUCAACGAUGGAGUGUGGUAUGUGCGCAGAAAUAUCCAAAAGAAAACGAGAAUAGACGUGUGAGACGAUUUUUACGCGUCACAACUUUUAUACCCAGUACUCAUUACAUCUUCCCUUAGCGGUUAUUUUUCAAACUUAAAAUUUAUUCUUUAUCUGUCAUCUACAUCUACAACACUUCUCAGGCCAACAAGCUCCUUUAGCUCGCCCCCCUUUCCUAGAGCCACACGCUGCAGAGUCACGGCAGAGGCAGAGGAACGCGAGAAGCAGAGGCUGCUCACUGCAGAAGCAGAGUGUGAAUGAGAAAAUGUGGUGGAUUUAGCCACUGCAAAUUAAUUUCUUCAUUCUAUAAUAAUAAUCCAAUCGGAUCCCAAUUUGGUGAUCUGAUAGAUAUGGUCAUUCCCUACAGAAUGGUGAUUUUAGUUUUCUGUUAUCUUCAAAAUUGUAGGUUUAGGAGUUUUUCGCCCUUUUGCGUGGGCGGUGCUCAUUUUUUAAAUACACUUGUAACAGUGUGAGCAUACAGAAGUCUGGAUGCAAAAUUUGGUGGCUCUAGCUUUUAUAGUCUCUGAGAUCCAGGCGCUCAACAAGACGGACAGACAGCCGUAGACUCGGCUAUUGAUGCUGAUCAAAGAAUUCCUUCUGUGCGUUACAUACAACCGUUAUUCGCACAAAUAGCAACAAAUUUAAGUAAGAGUUGCUGAUGCCGUACCUUAAAGGUAUGAUUUGAAUAUAUAAAAAAUUAUAAUGAAAUAAUAUUCAAACUGAUCUGAUUUCUGUUUGAUAUUGUAUUUAUGUAGUUACAAAAAAAUAGUUAUAUGCGGUUUUUUUAUUAUUCAGAUAACAUACAAGGGAUUGAAGCACCAUUGGUUAAAAAAUGGAUAUGCACAAGGACAAUUUAUACAUGAUUACAGUUUUCUUUCUUUUUUUUGUCCCAUUGCCUAUUUUUGUCUAAUUUAAUAAACGCAAUGAAAUUGAAAAUAUAUAUUUUUGUUUAAAUAUGUAUGUUCUUUUCGCGUUCUUUGAGAACGCUCUUUUAUGCAUGCCACGGAUGUGCUGUGGAAUGAUUACAUUGAACAGUUCCGGAACGGUUCUUAAUAGGUUCCUGUGGCAAAGAUGUGUUCUGUAGUGCUGCUAUCGGAAACUGCACUGGAAGGAACUCUGAGCGAUUCACGAAGUUGAAAUUACAACAACGACCACUUCUACAUGCCUUCCAAUGGACGCGAACAAAAAGGUUGGAUUCCCACGUGUUUCAUCCCCUGUCAAUUUGAAGCGAAAACGUCACGCAUUGUGUACUCAUGCUUACUAAAGUACUCAAGCGACUUAGUCCAACUCAUGAAGCAACUAUAAAGGAGGGCUCGUCGGCUUUUUAGAGGGAAACAUAAAAAUGCUGUCAAUAAGUCCGAGUGAAAGGGCGUGCAGAGAGAGAGAGAGAGAGAGCAACUUUACAAUAAUAAGAGUACAAACUGGUCGUGGUCCCACCACGGUUUAUAGUUGCUUCAUGGUCCAACUGGGAUGGUCCGUUUUGACUGCUGUCUACGCACACAGAAGCACUGCAAAGCAUGUGCGUGUGUGCGUGCCGAAAACUGAUGUAGAUAAAUAUUAUAUAACUCCAUUAUAACUAUUGAACUAACUAUUAUAAUUCAGCCCCCCCCCCCCCACCCC
RNAcentral lists this long non-coding RNA (3444 nucleotides) under Drosophila guanche. Lineage: Eukaryota; Metazoa; Arthropoda; Insecta; Diptera; Drosophilidae. The record is from RNAcentral.